Molecule: ribosomal RNA, 744 nt
Filed under: uncultured bacterium
Lineage: Bacteria
Description: bacterial SSU rRNA
Rfam family: Bacterial small subunit ribosomal RNA
Source: RNAcentral
AGAGUUUGAUCCUGGCUCAGAGCGAACGCUGGCGGCAGGCUUAACACAUGCAAGUCGAGCGGGCGUAGCAAUACGUCAGCGGCAGACGGGUGAGUAACGCGUGGGAACGUACCUUUUGGUUCGGAACAACACAGGGAAACUUGUGCUAAUACCGGAUAAGCCCUUACGGGGAAAGAUUUAUCGCCGAAAGAUCGGCCCGCGUCUGAUUAGCUAGUUGGUAGGGUAACGGCCUACCAAGGCGACGAUCAGUAGCUGGUCUGAGAGGAUGAUCAGCCACAUUGGGACUGAGACACGGCCCAAACUCCUACGGGAGGCAGCAGUGGGGAAUAUUGGACAAUGGGCGCAAGCCUGAUCCAGCCAUGCCGCGUGAGUGAUGAAGGCCCUAGGGUUGUAAAGCUCUUUUGUGCGGGAAGAUAAUGACGGUACCGCAAGAAUAAGCCCCGGCUAACUUCGUGCCAGCAGCCGCGGUAAUACGAAGGGGGCUAGCGUUGCUCGGAAUCACUGGGCGUAAAGGGUGCGUAGGCGGGUCUUUAAGUCAGGGGUGAAAUCCUGGAGCUCAACUCCAGAACUGCCUUUGGUACUGAGGAUCUUGAGUUCGGGAGAGGUGGGUGGAACUGCGAGUGUAGAGGUGAAAUUCGUAGAUAUUCGCAAGAACACCAGUGGCGAAGGCGGCUCACUGGCCCGAUACUGACGCUGAGGCACGAAAGCGUGGGGAGCAAACAGGAUUAGAUACCCCAGUAGUCC